This 253-nucleotide ribosomal RNA is filed under the name uncultured bacterium. RNAcentral describes it as "partial 16S ribosomal RNA". It matches the Rfam family "Bacterial small subunit ribosomal RNA", at positions 524 to 776 of the family's 1533-position model. The record is from RNAcentral.
UACGGAGGGCUCAAGCGUUGUUCGGAUUCAUUGGGCGUAAAGGGUGCGUAGGUGGCGCCGUAAGUCGGGUGUGAAAUUUCGGAGCUUAACUCCGAAACUGCAUUCGAUACUGCGGUGCUUGAGGACUGGAGAGGAGACUGGAAUUCCUGGUGUAGCGGUGAAAUGCGCAGAUAUCAGGAGGAACACCGGUGGCGAAGGCGGGUCUCUGGGCAACAACUGACGCUGAGGAGCGAAAGCGCGGGGAGCGAACAGG